Molecule: ribosomal RNA, 492 nt
Filed under: uncultured bacterium
Lineage: Bacteria
Description: partial 16S ribosomal RNA
Rfam family: Bacterial small subunit ribosomal RNA
Source: RNAcentral
AGUGAACGCUGGCGGUAGGCCUAACACAUGCAAGUCGAACGGCAGCACAGUAAGAGCUUGCUCUUACGGGUGGCGAGUGGCGGACGGGUGAGGAAUACAUCGGAAUCUACUUUUUCGUGGGGGAUAAUGUAGGGAAACUUACGCUAAUACCGCAUACGACCUACGGGUGAAAGCAGGGGAUCUUCGGACCUUGCGCGAUUGAAUGAGCCGAUGUCGGAUUAGCUAGUUGGCGGGGUAAAGGCCCACCAAGGCGACGAUCCGUAGCUGGUCUGAGAGGAUGAUCAGCCACACUGGAACUGGGACACGGUCCAGACUCCUACGGGAGGCGGCAGUGGGGAAUAUUGGACAAUGGGCGCAAGCCUGAUCCAGCCAUACCGCGUGGGUGAAGAAGGCCUUCGGGUUGGAAAGCCCUUUUGUUGGGAAAGAAAAGCAGCAGGUUAAUACCCCGCUGUUCUGACGGUACCCAAAGAAUAAGCACCGGCUAACUUCGUG